AUUUGCAGACAGACGAAGCUAUAGAGAGGGACAAUGCAAGUAACCUCAAAUGAGAGUGUGGAAAGGCGGGAAAGCAGCCAGAGCUUCAUUGUUAUGAAAAAAGAGUGAAAUGUGCUCUGUUGAAGAGUUGAAGAAUGAACAAAGGAUAUUUAGUUUGAAUGGAAGCUCAGUAAUGAGAAAUGAGAAUGGUUGAGUUCUUAAAAGAAGCAAGUAAAGAAGAGGAUUUGUGGGCUACUAAUCUCAUUCAGUGAAUCUCAUACGACCCUUGCCUAGUGUUAAAUAUGUUAAUGAAUUCAUGUCAUGCUGCUCAGUCUUACUAGCCUUCAUCAUCCAGAGUAAAAUGCAUAUGAUUCCUAUGAAAAUUUGUGGAAAGGAAUAUAUUAAUAGGUUAGAAGAAUUAGAAGAAUGAAAAGAAAUAAUUUUUGCUUUUUAAAUGGAGAAUCAUGCAUAUUUGGAGACACAAGGGAAGAAGCCCAUGGAGAAGGAGAGAUGAAGCUGUAAAAGAAAGAUGCUAUGAAUGUGCUCUCGACAGGAUAUCAUAGAGACUGCUAGUCAGCGGAACAUGUUAUCCUAAUAUAGGUAUAUUUAUACAAGAUUUAAAAUAAAGAUUUUUCUAUUUUCUUAAUAUGUGUCUAGAAGUUAAAUAAACAUUAUAAUCACAGAAGUCAGAUAAAAAGAAAUUCAUAGUC
RNAcentral lists this long non-coding RNA (689 nucleotides) under Homo sapiens (human). RNAcentral's name for it is "non-protein coding LINC01776:26". The record is from RNAcentral. Lineage: Eukaryota; Metazoa; Chordata; Mammalia; Primates; Hominidae.